RNAcentral lists this long non-coding RNA (5373 nucleotides) under Nicotiana tabacum (common tobacco). RNAcentral describes it as "long non-coding RNA (NTAB_LNC016313)". Lineage: Eukaryota; Viridiplantae; Streptophyta; Magnoliopsida; Solanales; Solanaceae. The record is from RNAcentral.
GGAUAAUACUGAUAAACCAAUCAAGACUCCGGAUUACAUGGUUAAGAGGGAUGCUACAUCAUUAGCCAUGGGAGCAGGACUCGUUGAUCCAAACCGUGCAGUUGAUCCAGGCCUUAUAUAUGACGCCACUCCACUAGACUAUGUGAACCUUCUCUGCUCUAUGAAUUUGACAGUAGAGCAAUUCAAAACAAUUGCUAGAUCAUCAGCUAAGCACAACUGCUCAAAUCCAUCCAAUGAUAUCAAUUACCCCUCAUUUAUUGCUCUCUUUAGCCCAUAUGGGAACUACACUUGGUUGGAGCAGAAAUUUAAGAGGACAGUCACAAAUGUUGGAGCUGCUGCAGCAACAUAUAAAGUAAAAGUGAGAGCACCAAAAAACUCAACAAUAUCUAUCUCUCCGCAGACCUUGGUGUUUGAGAAGAAAUAUCAGAAGCAGGACUACAGUCUGACCAUACGUUACAAGGGCGUUGCGGAAGAUCAAGCACAAUCUGGUUCAAUCACUUGGGUGGAAGAGAAUGGUCAUCACACAGUAAGAAGUCCUAUAGUAGUAGCUCCAGAGAUUGAUGCCUGGACCUGAAAUGCUGCAGUUAACAAAACUGUUGCAUUUGUGAGUUUGUAACUCUCUAAGAGAGUUAUGUUAAAGUAGCUGGACAUUCUGGCAAAGCAAAUGUAUGUUUGAAGUAAAAGUUAAAUAAAUAAAAAAUUGUUAUAAAAAAGGCAUGACUUUAUUGAUCUUUAAAACUUUGUUGCUACAUAGAACUAAAGCCAUUAGAUGCUUUUUGCAGAUACACCAUGAAGUAGUACUAUAUCCACUUAUUGAGCUCUCUGGAGAAUCUUUGGCUAGAUAAAAAAUGCAGUGCUAGAAGAACUGAAUUUUUUUAAAUUCACUUGUUUUAAUAAGCCCCAGGAUAUGGAACAAAGGAUUAGCUUGGACCUAUACUGAAUAACUAUUGGUAAUAUUCAAAUUCGUCCAAACAAUGUUGUAUGUAUAAAGAAGUGUUUAAUCGACAAGUGACAAGGAAAGAGCCUUUUGUCUAUAGCGUUAGAGCAUUGAGUAGACCUUUUGCCUUAACCAACAAACAAUAUGUUAAAAAAAGUCUUACACGGGGUAUUAAGAAAUUUAAAGCGCCUAAGACUAGACAUAUAACAAGCGGAGCAACAGUUUGAGACGCUAUAGAAAGCCAACUGCAGUUCAGUCUCAAGGGUUGAAGUUCUGCACUACAUGCAUGUAACUAUUACAACUCUCACCCUUCCCUCUCUCCUUUCCCUCUUUCAAUUUUAAGAAUACUUAUAUAAUUUCUGAACUAAACUAGCACAAAUAAAAUCAUAGGGAAUACAUUGACAUAUGCAAACUUGAUCAGAAUUGAGUUGAAGUAACUGGAGAAUCAGACAUGACACCAUAUAUCUUUGAGUAUAUGAAGUUACCGAGCAAUUGUUUUGCAUGAGUUGAUGAGUAUGAAUAUAUAUAGAGCAGAAGUUUCUUUUCCAUUUCUACCAAUAGAGCUUAAACGUAGAACUUAACUAGUCACCAAGAUUGGCAAUAUCCAUACAGUAGGCUUUCCAUGGUAAUAUAUCAUAAGAUAAUUCUAUAGAGCAUGUUAUGCAGAGACUGAAAGCAUUAGUUUUGCCUUUGACAGAAACAAAUUAAUGUUUAAAACAUGCAAGUGAUCUUUUCUAUUUGGGAUUUUUCAAAAGUAAGUUUCAUGUUCUUGUUCUCUUUUCUUCCAAUUUGAAAUAAAUAGUACACACGCUAAUAGAAACAACUACAAGUAUAUACAUGCACAGAAAACGUGUAUGUGUGCGCCCGCCAGGGCGUAUGUAGUGUAAUAAUAACAAGUUCAAUUGAACCCAUAACUUUCGACGCGAAGUAAAACUUUAGAUGUAAAAAUUUGUUAAAAUUGCAAAUUAGUAGAUAUGAACUCAUAACUUUAAAAAUAUAAUGAGUUAAAUGCUAAAAAAUUUAAUUAUUAAAUUCAUAGAGUUAAAAUUCUAGAUGUGCCUCGGCGAGCACCCGUAUGUAUAAAGGAGGGAAGGAGGGAUGAAUGGGCUGGCAUGCAUGCACUUAGAAAAGUAUGACCUCCAUGAUUAAUUGACAAUAAAAUCAUUCCAAUAUAGGACAUUUACCAAUCAAUCACAAUAUGGUAGGAUCAUUUUUAAAAUAGAAAUUCGAGCCUAACGUGCCCACUUGCUACAAAUUCCCAAUGCUAGUACUAAGUUCUAUCGCCAAAUACAAAAUGUGUUCGUCCAAUCAAUGACCAUCCAUAGUUAUACUAAUCUAUGUGUUCUUCAUAUGGGAUUCCAAAAGGCUUUUGUAAUUUUUUUGAGAUGUUCUAAGUGUUAUGUGAGUGGACUAAUAAUUUUUUUAUAAACAACCUCAAGUACUUUUGAAGAACCUAUUUUGAAAAAAAAUAUCUUCAAUAAUUUCCAUAAUUUCUUUUUCCAAAACUUGUACUCCUAAAAGAUUUUGCAAGUUGGUAUUUGUUUAAUGCAAAAAUCGUGACAACAUAGUAUUACUCAAAAAAAAAAAAAGACGAAAGAAUAGCUUAUUAAAGCAACCAGUAUUAUAUAACAUAUGUCAUUUAUAUAAGUUUUAUUAAUUAACAUUGUUGAGUAAUAUAUAUUCUAAUCUCAAUUUAUCACUUGAAAUAUGAUUGGGUGCUUGUACAAAUCUGUGUAGUGUGUGUACACAGGAAGUCGCCACUUUAAUUUUCACUAAAAUAAUGUCACCACUGGUCCACUGGCUGAAACUUCCAAAGAAACCAAGUCUUAGAAAAUGACAGCUUACCAAGUGCUCCAAUUGCAUUAUCUACUUCACAAAACUAGCCAAGGGCGGGGGCCCAAGCAAGGCUGUUUCUUAGCAUGUGUAUUUAAAAGGAGGCUCUGUUGUAAGAGGAAAAAAACACAAGUAGACAGAUAGAAUUAUGACAUCAGUACCUCUUCUCCUGUUUUCUUGGUUUCUUUUUGGUAUUUCUUUGUUAUUAGGAACCUCAGCAAAGAGGUCUACUUACAUUGUCCAUUUGGACAAAUCUGUUAUGCCUAAAAUCUUUGCUAGUCAUGAAAACUGGCAUUCAUCCAUUAUUAACAACAUCAAGAUUGAGGUUCCCACUACUCCAAAUGAUCAUCAUCCAGUUCCAAAGAUUGUAUAUUCUUAUGAUAAUGUCAUUCAUGGCUUCAGUGCUGUUUUGUCUAAAGAUGAACUUGUAGCUCUCAAGAAAUCACCAGGCUUUCUCUCAGCUUAUAAAGACAGGACUGUUGAAGCUCACACUACUCAUACUUCUGAGUUUCUUAAGCUCAAUCCUGCUUCUGGGAUGUGGCCAGCUUCUGGUUUUGGUCAAGAUGUUAUCAUUGGUGUGCUUGACUCUGGUAUCUGGCCAGAAUCUGCCAGUUUCAGAGAUGAUGGAUUGCCUGAAGUUCCAAAAAGGUGGAAAGGAAUUUGCAAGCCAGGAGCAGAGUUCAAUUCCUCAUUGUGCAACAGGAAACUCAUAGGAGCUAAUUAUUUCAAUAAGGGUAUUUUGGCUGAUGAUCCUAGUGUAAAUAUUUCCAUGAAUUCUGCAAGGGAUACUAGAGGUCAUGGCACCCAUGUUGCUUCCACUGCUGCUGGUAGUUUUGCUAAAGGAGCUUCAUAUUUUGGAUAUGCUCCUGGAACAGCAAGAGGUAUCGCGCCACGAGCUAGGAUAGCUGUGUAUAAGUUUAGCUUUGAAGAAGGAACCUUUACUUCAGAUUUAAUUGCUGCUAUGGACCAAGCUGUUGCAGAUGGUGUCGACAUACUGACCAUUUCGUAUGGGUGGUCUAAAAUUCCGUUGUACGAAGAUUCUAUUGCAAUAGCUUCUUUUGGUGCCAUGAUGAAGGGUGUCUUAGUCACUGCUUCAGCUGGAAACAGAGGUCCUGAAAUGGGAACUUUAAACAAUGGAGUCCCGUGGAUCUUUACCGUGGCAUCAUGCAGUACUGACCGAUCAUUUUCAGGGACUCUAACUCUUGGGAAUGGCUUAAAGAUUACAGGAUUUAGCUUGUUUCCAGUGAGAACCAUGAUCAAGGAUUUUCCUGUGCUUUACAACGAAAGUAUAUCUCCUUGUGAUUCAUCUGACCCAUUAUCCCAAGUCCCUAAUGCUAGACGUAGCAUCAUGAUUUGCUAUAGUGUUGCAGUAGAAGUAGAGGAACAAAUGGCGGCCAUCUCAGAGUCAAAAUUUGGAGGAGCCAUCUAUAUAUCUGAUGAUCCAGAUGCAUUGAUAUCCAAUUUUUUUCCAAACCCUGGAGUUGUCAUUAGCAUCAAGGAAGGGAAGCAGGUGAUCGACUAUGCAUUAAAAGGUGUAAAACCUAAAGCCAGCAUCAGUUUCCAGGAAACACGCACGGAUGUAAAGCCUGCUCCAGUCGUUUCUGCAUUUUCCUCUAGAGGCCCUUCUAAAAGCUAUCUGCAAAUUGCAAAGCCUGAUAUUAUAGCACCAGGAGAGUUGAUUUUAGCAGCCUGGCCAUCGAACGUUUCAGCUGCAGUUAUUGGUGUCAAUACAUUUUUGGAAAGUGAUUACCGUCUUGAAUCAGGCACUUCCAUGGCUGCUCCUCACGUUGCUGGAAUUGCUGCGAUGCUAAAAGGAGUACAUCCCGAAUGGAGUCCUUCAGCUAUUCGAUCUGCCAUGAUGACCACUGCCAAUCCUUUGGAUAAUACUGAAAAACCCAUCAAAAGCGCAGAUAAUGACAAGGAUGCUACAUCAUUAGCCAUGGGAGCCGGACUCGUUGAUCCAAAUCGUGCAGUUGAUCCAGGCCUAAUAUAUGAUGCCACUCCGCAAGACUAUGUGAACCUUCUCUGCUCUAUGAAUUUGACAGUAGAGCAAUUCAAAACAAUUGCUAGAUCAUCAGCUAAGCACAACUGCUCAAAUCCAUCCAAUGAUAUAAAUUAUCCUUCAUUUAUUGCUCUCUUUAGCCCAUAUGGGAACUACACUUGGUUGGAGCAGAAAUUCAAGAGGACAGUCACAAAUGUUGGAGUUGGUGCAGCUACGUAUAAAGUAAAAGUGAGAGCACCAGAAAACUCGUCGAUUUCUAUCUCUCCGCAGACCUUGGUGUUUGAAAAGAAAAACCAGAAGCAGGACUACACUCUGACCAUACGUUACAAAGGCGUCGCGGAAGAUCAAGCACAAUCUGGUUCAAUCACUUGGGUGGAAGAGAACGGUCAUCACACAGUAAGAAGUCCUAUAGUUGUAGCUCCACAGAUUGACGCCUGGUCCUGAAAUGCUGCAGUUUACAAAACUGUUGCAUUUGUAAGCUUCUAACUCUCUACGAGACUUCUGGUAAGUAGCUAGAAGGAUGCUGGCAAAGUACAUGUAUGUUUGAAGUAAUUGUUGAAUAGUAACAUAUUUUGGGUUAUUAAUAAAAAAUGACUGUGCU